Molecule: long non-coding RNA, 897 nt
Filed under: Marmota monax (woodchuck)
Lineage: Eukaryota; Metazoa; Chordata; Mammalia; Rodentia; Sciuridae
Source: RNAcentral
AGAAGCAAUGCGGGAGCCCAAUAGAUUGCCACGGGUGAGAGAAAUCCUUCACUAUAAGGAGUAGGAUCAGCAUGAAUGGGUAGAAGUUGCAAGGAGGAAGGUUUCUGAACCAACCUAAUAACCAUUUCAGAGUAGAAGCUUUCCAGAAUUGGAACUGGUCACUGAGAGAGGCUAAGCAAUCCUGGUUCCUGAAAGUGUUUAAGUGCAGACUGAUUACUAAAAGAAGAUUCAGGUGAUCCUAACAUGUAACUGCAGCUGAGUACCAUUUUGGGGGAUUAACCGUUCUCAAAUUCUAAUUUGAAUCAGAAUCAUGUAGGACUUAAGGAAAAUUCAAGUGUGGAGCUGGGGUGGAGGUGUGGGCAGAAUUCAGAAUCCUUAGUUUCAGCGAUGAAUCUACUUUUAAAAUGAGUAUCUCAAGUGCUUUUCUUUCUGUUAUUUGAGGAUUAUACUCUGAGAAACCUAUUUUAAACUUAAGACAUUAGUUGCUACAAGGGGAACAAGAAAAAAAAUUAAAAGUAAAAGGUUAGAAGAUAAAAUCUGUUGCAGCUGUAUUUUUUUAGGUUCUCAGUAACCUGCCUGCAUGCCCCUCUGUCAUAUUCUCUAGAAUUCCAAAUGCACUGCUAAAAUCAUCCUUCCAUUUCUUUCUUACAUGAUUUGUUUGCUUCUUGGUUUCUACUUUGCUGUCAUUAUUGGACCAAGAAUGAAAAAUAACUAAUGAACCCUGUGAGCAACAGCAGGGACUGUGAGAACCAGCUACAGGAGAGUGAACAGUCACUAAGGUCGGGAUCACAUCAGGACAGCCCUGGUUGUGUGUAUGCGUGCAUGUGAGGCCUGAGCAUCCCCACUCUCCAUGUCCACACUGUGACAACAGCACUGACUGACCAUGGCCUUCUUUCC